This is a long non-coding RNA of Spea bombifrons (plains spadefoot toad), 267 nucleotides long. RefSeq lists it as uncharacterized. The record is from RefSeq and is a predicted model, not a curated record. The transcript has 2 exons. Lineage: Eukaryota; Metazoa; Chordata; Amphibia; Anura; Pelobatidae.
UAAGGACUGGGGUCUCCAGUAAGGAUUGUAGGGUCCCAGAAGAACCAUUAGUUAACGUGUGCCUAUGAGCAUACCUGGUAACUCUCUGGGGUUGCCCUCAAGUCUCUGGGUUUUUGCCCCAGUCUCAGGGUGAAGGGGCAGGCGAUCAUAUAGAAGACUCACAGCCAGCAAAAUCCUACUUAUGGAUCCCUUGUGUUUUUGAGACAGAUGUGUUUUGUAAUGUCUUAAAGGCAUGUAUUUCAAAUCCUAUAUUAAACAUCUGACCUU